GGGGGCACUGAUGGCAGUGCUGAGCCAGGAGUGCAUCUGAGGCGUGUUGGGCACCUCAGGGGCCCCUCUGCAACACUGCCUGUGAUUAAAGCCCCAAAAACGCCCACCAGGAGAGCCCAGGCAGCCCAAAUGUCUCCAGGGUCACCAGAUCCUGUGCUCUGA
RNAcentral lists this non-coding RNA (162 nucleotides) under Zonotrichia albicollis (white-throated sparrow). The record is from RNAcentral. Lineage: Eukaryota; Metazoa; Chordata; Aves; Passeriformes; Passerellidae.